AAUGAACGUUGGCGGCGUGGAUUAGGCAUGCAAGUCGAACGAGAAGUCUUAGAUUGAAGCUUCGGUUGAUUUCUAAGAUGGACAGUGGCGAAAGGGAGAGUAACGAGUAGAUUACGUACCCAGGGGUUCAGGAUAGCGGGGAGAAAUCGCCGGUAAUACUGAAUAAUGUUUCCGAACCAAAGAUUUAUCGCCCCCGGAUCGGUCUGCUUACUAUUAGUUUGUUGGUGGGGUAAAGGCCUACCAAGACUAAGAUGGUUAGCGGGUGUGAGAGCAUGGCCCGUCUCACUGGGACUGAGACACUGCCCAGACACCUACGGGUGGCUGCAGUCGAGAAUCUUCCGCAAUGGACGAAAGUCUGACGGAGCGACGCCGCGUGCGGGAUGAAGGCCUUCGGGUUGUAAACCGCUGUCAUAGGGGAGGAAAUUUUGACCGAUCCUAAGAGGAAGCACAGGCUAAGUUCG
This 461-nucleotide ribosomal RNA is filed under the name uncultured Planctomycetaceae bacterium. Its description in RNAcentral is "bacterial SSU rRNA". It matches the Rfam family "Bacterial small subunit ribosomal RNA", at positions 29 to 505 of the family's 1533-position model. The record is from RNAcentral. Lineage: Bacteria; Pseudomonadati; Planctomycetota; Planctomycetia; Planctomycetales; Planctomycetaceae.